AUUGAACGCUGGCGGCAGGCCUAACACAUGCAAGUCGAAUGGUAACAGGAAACAGCUUGCUGUUUCGCUGACGAGUGGCGGACGGGUGAGUAAUGUCUGGGAAACUGCCUGAUGGAGGGGGAUAACUACUGGAAACGGUAGCUAAUACCGCAUAACGUCGCAAGACCAAAGAGGGGGACCUUCGGGCCUCUUGCCAUCAGAUGUGCCCAGAUGGGAUUAGCUAGUAGGUGGGGUAACGGCUCACCUAGGCGACGAUCCCUAGCUGGUCUGAGAGGAUGACCAGCCACACUGGAACUGCGACACGGUCCAGACUCCUACGGGAGGCAGCAGUGGGGAAUAUUGCACAAUGGGCGCAAGCCUGAUGCAGCCAUGCCGCGUGUAUGAAGAAGGCCUUCGGGUUGUAAAGUACUUUCAGCGGGGAGGAAGGGAGUAAAGUUAAUACCUUUGCUCAUUGACGUUACCCGCAGAAGAAGCACCGGCUAACUCCGUG
This 490-nucleotide ribosomal RNA is filed under the name uncultured bacterium. Its description in RNAcentral is "partial 16S ribosomal RNA". It matches the Rfam family "Bacterial small subunit ribosomal RNA", at positions 30 to 507 of the family's 1533-position model. The record is from RNAcentral.